This 757-nucleotide long non-coding RNA is filed under the name Heterocephalus glaber (naked mole-rat). RNAcentral describes it as "lncRNA (ENSHGLG00100044418.1)". The record is from RNAcentral. Lineage: Eukaryota; Metazoa; Chordata; Mammalia; Rodentia; Bathyergidae.
CCCAGGGGGAGCAGGAUGAGGACCCUCAGGGGAGGAGCCGGGUAGCAGGCCGCCCGACUCCCAUCCGGUUCUGAGGUGCUUGGGGUUCACCAGAGCAGCCAGCGGUGGAAGCAGCCCGAUCUCAGUUCCAAUGCGAGGCAGCCUUGCUGAAGGGUGGAAGAGAACGAGAAAGCCAGCCACGCCUUGAGCACAGGCGUCUCCUUCACUGCUCCCAGAGCCAAAAUUCCCUCCACUCCAGCAGAGAGAGCCAGGAAGGGUGGAAACCAGAAGGGCUCUCAGUUCGGUGCAACCCAGCUGUGUGUGUUGUUCAACCACAGACUGCAGAAUCUGACCACCCUAACUAGCGAAGAAGACAUGAGUCCCCUGCAAUUUGCCGAGUUGAGAAAAGGCCUCCAGCUGUGGCUUUAUUGAUGCAGACCAGACGAGAACAACACCACUGCUAGUGUCCUGAAACACUUUCAUCCCUGUCAUUGGUCCCAACAUUUGCCUCAAGUGAGGUAUAAACUAAGUUCAAAUUGUUUGAGUUUUCAUGCUUUUAAAUUCAAACACCAGAAGGGAUUCAUUCAAUAAGCGACGCUGCGUAGUGAGAUCUGAAAGGAACUGUAACCCACAGGUCCUCCUGGGAGAGCUGGGGCCUUGUGCAUAGAGAGGCCUGCAGCACAGUGUGGCUGCUGCAGAGAUCAGUGGGGCAAGGCACCUGUCUGCUUCCAAAAAGUAUUAAGAGAAACUGAAUUCUGCUUGUGGACAAUAAAUUCAG